CCCUUCCCUUGGGUGGGAGUUUUGGUCGUUAAAACAAAUGAGCGGCCAGGAACGCAGGGAACUGAAAUCUAAAUACAAGCAGGCGGAGCAACAGCUAAGACCGGUGAACGGCUGUCAGACGCGGGCGCCGCUGGAGGAGAAACGCUAGGAGAGGUUGAGAGGAAGAGCCGGCAGAAAGGGCACCCGGCAGGUUUAGAGAUGAUAGGCAAGGAGCUGAGCGCUGGGUGGUUUCUGAAUCCGGCUUUUGUUCUUCUGUGCUUGCCUAGCCAGGGUUAACUUUGUGUGUCAGAAAAUCUCCGUGCUUGGUCUGUUCAAAAUGCGGAGAUCAGUUUAGGGAUCUUCACGUUUUCAAAAUAACCGCUCUCCUCUUGUCCAGAUGUGGGCUUCUGCGUCAACCAGCUGGAUUCUCAGCCUUCAUAGUUCUCAUUUUCAAAUCAUUCACCGCAGCCCCGGGGGCUAGGAGCUUACAUGUUUAAUAAAAACGGAGAUUGUCGCAUUGUUCCCCAAUUUAAGGAACUGAGGCUGUAAGAAAAGCAUAAAAUAUGGUGCGAUUUGCCAUAGAAUCACAAGAUUUGGAAACCCUGAAGGGUUAGCUAGAGAGCUCAGUGAAGAAAAAGAGCAUAGGAAGGGAUUGUAGGAAUGCAGGGCUGGAAGAGACGUUGAGACAUCGUGCAGUCUGUUCUGCUGCCCCGAGCCAGGAUCAGGGAUAUCCAGAGCAUCCCUGACAGAUACUUGUCUAACCUCCAAGACGAGAUGCACAGGAAUGCGCAAGAAGAAUCAGGAGGCUCCACAGAGAUCUAGUGAAUCACAGAGGAGGGAAUGCCUGAAUUGCUGUCCCCUUAUGCAGUGUUAGUGCUGCCUUCAACCCCAGUUCUGCACUUGGGAUCAGGGUCUUCCUUUCUUUCUACAGCAGCUCGCCCAAAGCCGGCGCUCAUCAGCUGGCUGCCAGCGGAGCCGCGGCUCUGCCAUGUGAAGCAGGAGCCUUGUCAGCAGCUCCCCGGAGCCGGCUUUUGCAGAGAGACACAUGUUGCUGCAGCUUGCUAGGUAAGGCAACCCCAGGGGUUGGAGGGGAGGUGGUCA
RNAcentral lists this long non-coding RNA (1080 nucleotides) under Crocodylus porosus (Australian saltwater crocodile). Its description in RNAcentral is "lncRNA (ENSCPRG00005018529.1)". Lineage: Eukaryota; Metazoa; Chordata; Crocodylia; Crocodylidae. The record is from RNAcentral.